Molecule: long non-coding RNA, 1160 nt
Organism: Calypte anna (Anna's hummingbird)
Lineage: Eukaryota; Metazoa; Chordata; Aves; Apodiformes; Trochilidae
Exons: 5
Source: RefSeq, a predicted model, not a curated record
CACUCUGUGUGUUCCUCUGUCUGUGCCUUUCUCCCGCCCCGGUUUUGGGGUUUGGGAGUCCCAGGCACUUGUCUCUUGUCUUGAGGCCCCUUCCCAAAUUUUUGGGAGGGGGGUCCGUCUCCCCGUGUUGUCCCCUGUCUGUCCCUAUGUGUUGACCCACUGCCACCCUGGAUGCUGCUGCGCCGCGCCGCUGCGACACAGGUAAGUGCUGCGACUGCCCCCCUGGAUGCUGCUGCUGCGACGGAUUCACCACUGAUUUACUUGAUUCACUGAUUCACUGAUUCAGUUGCUGACUACUGGCUAAUGGCUACUGGCGUGCGUGUGCGGGCGCGGUGCGGGCCUUCCCGAGUGAAGGCCGCUCCCGCGCCCCGGGACCCGGCGGAGCUUCCGCUGGCGAAGAGCCGGGCGGAGAGCCCCGAGUGACCGCGUCCCGCGGGAGGAUCCCCCGGGGGCGCCUCCGCCAGCAGAGCCGUGGGCAUUUCAGGUGGGUGCGGGGCUGUGCGGGAUCCCCCUGGAGUCGGAGGAGUCGGGAGAGAAGCGGCGGUGGAGCAGCGCGGGACGGUUCCAGUACCAUGGGGCAGAUGGCAGCAACAUCAGGAAGCCUCGGAACUGCUUGAUUCCCAAGUCCAUGGAUUCCUUGAUGCCCUGGGUGCAGGAGCAGCUGGAUGACUAAACCCUCCUCCCUGCCAAGGUGCUGCAGGAGGAGCUGAAGAGCAGAGGUGCUGCACAUUUCUUCACCUGCACUAACAAGCCCUGAUGGUGUCUGUGCUCUGAGCAGCCACUCAGGAAAGGAGUCCCAGGGCAGCUGCUGCUCAGCAAUCAGUUGUGGAGCAGGAAGCUGCUGGCAGGGUUAACCUCACAGCUCCUGCAGAGUGGAAGUGAGCAGUGGCUGCUGGUGUCAGCAGUGUCCCUGAGGUGUCAUGGGAAGUGAAGCCCAAGAGUGGUUGGCACCUGAAGGCAGAGCAGAGGAGCAGCUGCCUCGUGUCCAUGGGUUGAAUUCCUGUCAGAGAGACAAACAGAACACCAAGGGAAUUCAUACCUGGAACCCAUGUCCAGCACUCUGCAUCUGCUGGUAACUUCCUGUAUCCAUGUGCCACCAGUACUGAGAGAACAUGGGUUACUGGUGAUGCCACUGUAAAUAAAAUAUUUUAAUAUAUUGC